RNAcentral lists this non-coding RNA (690 nucleotides) under Pan troglodytes (chimpanzee). The record is from RNAcentral. Lineage: Eukaryota; Metazoa; Chordata; Mammalia; Primates; Hominidae.
UUGAAAUGUUAUUCACAUACCAUAAACUUCACCCAUUUAAAGUGUACAUUUCAGUGAUUUUUAGAUAUAUUCACAGGGUUUUGCAACCAUCACUGUUAAUAAUUCCAGAACACCUUUUCACUUAGAAAGCCUGUAUUCUUUUUUUUUUUUUUUUGAGAUGGAGUCUCACUCUGUCACCCAGGCUGGCGUGUGGUACACUUUCGUUCACUGCAACCUCCGCCUCUCAGGUUCAAGCAAUUUUCCUGCCUCAGCCUCCCAAGUAGCUGGGAUUACAGGCGCACACCACCACGCCCAGCUUAGUUUUGUAUAUAUUUUGUAGAGACAGGGUUUUGCGAUGUUGCCCAGGCUGGUCUCAAACUGGGCUCAAGCGAUCCACCUGCCUUGGCCUCCCAAGGUGCUGGGAUUACAGGUCAGCUUCAUAGUAAGAUUUGGUAUUUGUGGACCUAGGUCUGUGUGAUAUUUCUCUUUCUUCUUUUCCUGAAAGUCUUUAUAAUUCAAAUUUAGAAUUAGAUUCUUCAAGUGUUUUUUUUGUUUUUUGUUUUUUUUUAAUCUGUAGAAUUCUAGCAAAUUGGUUAAAAGUCAAGUUCAUGGGAGAUGAAGGCUCAGUGGAUGACACAUCCAGCGAUGCUGGUGGGAUUCAGACGCUUUCGCUUUUCAACUCACUUAGCAGCAAAGGGGAUCAGAUGAUUU